Molecule: ribosomal RNA, 524 nt
Filed under: uncultured Paenibacillus sp.
Lineage: Bacteria; Bacillati; Bacillota; Bacilli; Caryophanales; Paenibacillaceae
Description: partial 16S ribosomal RNA
Source: RNAcentral
CACGUAGUUAGCCGGGGCUUUCUUCUCAGGUACCGUCACUCCCCCUAGCAGUUACUCUAGAGGACGUUCUUCCCUGGCAACAGAGCUUUACGAUCCGAAAACCUUCAUCACUCACGCGGCGUUGCUCCGUCAGACUUUCGUCCAUUGCGGAAGAUUCCCUACUGCUGCCUCCCGUAGGAGUCUGGGCCGUGUCUCAGUCCCAGUGUGGCCGUUCACCCUCUCAGGUCGGCUACGCAUCGUCGCCUUGGUGAGCCGUUACCUCACCAACCAGCUAAUGCGCCGCAGGCCCAUCCGUAAGUGACAGAUUGCUCCGUCCUUUCCCAAACUCCCCCAUGCGAGGAAUUUGCGUAUCCGGUAUUAGCUACCGUUUCCGGUAGUUAUCCCAGUUCUUACGGGCAGGUUGCCUUACGUGUUACUCACCCGUCGCCGCUAAGCUAAUCAGGAGCAAGCCUCCGAUUAACUCCGCUCGACUUGCUAUGUAUUAGGCACCGCCGCCAGUCGUUCGUUCCUCGUGCCAGGACUAA